AACGAACGCUGGCGGCAUGCCUAACACAUGCAAGUCGAACGAGACCUUCGGGUCUAGUGGCGCACGGGUGCGUAACGCGUGGGAACCUGCCCUUAGGUUCGGAAUAACUCCCCGAAAGGGGUGCUAAUACCGGAUAAUGUCUUCGGACCAAAGAUUUAUCGCCUUUGGAUGGGCCCGCGUUGGAUUAGCUAGUUGGUAGGGUAAAAGCCUACCAAGGCGACGAUCCAUAGCUGGUCUGAGAGGAUGAUCAGCCACACUGGGACUAAGACACGGCCCAGACUCCUACGGGAGGCAGCAGUGGGGAAUAUUGGACGAUGGGCGAAGGCCUGAUCCAGCAAUGCCGCGUAAGUGAUGUAGGCCUUAGGGUUGUAAAGCUCUUUUAACCGGGAUGAUAAUGACAGUACCGGGAGAAUAAGCUCCGGCUAACUCCGUG
This 433-nucleotide ribosomal RNA is filed under the name uncultured bacterium. Its description in RNAcentral is "partial 16S ribosomal RNA". It matches the Rfam family "Bacterial small subunit ribosomal RNA", at positions 29 to 507 of the family's 1533-position model. The record is from RNAcentral.